Otolemur garnettii (small-eared galago) is the source of this 104-nucleotide small nuclear RNA. Lineage: Eukaryota; Metazoa; Chordata; Mammalia; Primates; Galagidae. The record is from Ensembl.
GUGCUUGCUUUGGCAGCACAUAUACUAAAAUUGGAACGAUACAAAGAGGAUUAGCAUGGCCCCUGCGCAAGGAUGCAACGAUACAGAGAGUACUGCAUGCUCCU